RNAcentral lists this ribosomal RNA (579 nucleotides) under Kocuria sp. RNAcentral's name for it is "bacterial SSU rRNA". It matches the Rfam family "Bacterial small subunit ribosomal RNA", at positions 231 to 822 of the family's 1533-position model. The record is from RNAcentral. Lineage: Bacteria; Bacillati; Actinomycetota; Actinomycetes; Micrococcales; Micrococcaceae.
UCACGGCCUAUCAGCUUGUUGGUGGGGUAAUGGCCUACCAAGGCGACGACGGGUAGCCGGCCUGAGAGGGUGACCGGCCACACUGGGACUGAGACACGGCCCAGACUCCUACGGGAGGCAGCAGUGGGGAAUAUUGCACAAUGGGCGCAAGCCUGAUGCAGCGACGCCGCGUGAGGGAUGACGGCCUUCGGGUUGUAAACCUCUUUCAGCACGGAAGAAGCGAAAGUGACGGUACGUGCAGAAGAAGCGCCGGCUAACUACGUGCCAGCAGCCGCGGUAAUACGUAGGGCGCAAGCGUUGUCCGGAAUUAUUGGGCGUAAAGAGCUCGUAGGCGGUUUGUCGCGUCUGCUGUGAAAGCCCGGGGCUUAACCCCGGGUGUGCAGUGGGUACGGGCAGACUUGAGUGCAGUAGGGGAGACUGGAACUCCUGGUGUAGCGGUGAAAUGCGCAGAUAUCAGGAAGAACACCGAUGGCGAAGGCAGGUCUCUGGGCUGUUACUGACGCUGAGGAGCGAAAGCAUGGGGAGCGAACAGGAUUAGAUACCCUGGUAGUCCAUGCCGUAAACGUUGGGCACUAGGUG